GGCAUGGUGCUUUGGUGGUUAGAAUGUUUGCUUCACAACUCUGGGGUUGUGGGGUUCGAUUACCCACCUUUGCCC
Ameiurus melas (black bullhead) is the source of this 75-nucleotide non-coding RNA. The record is from the annotation of a GenBank genome assembly. NCBI's taxonomy places the organism in Eukaryota, Metazoa, Chordata, Actinopteri, Siluriformes, Ictaluridae.